UUCGCGGCGCGGCCCUUUUGCG
RNAcentral lists this microRNA (22 nucleotides) under Drosophila mojavensis. Its description in RNAcentral is "Dmo-Novel-7-P1_5p (mature (co-guide))". Lineage: Eukaryota; Metazoa; Arthropoda; Insecta; Diptera; Drosophilidae. The record is from RNAcentral.